AGCACCCGUGCCGUGCCCGUCCCCGUGCCCGUGCCGUGCCCGUCCCCGUGCCCGUGCCGCGGUGCCGCGGGGGCUGCAGCUCCGCGCAGCAGCGAAUCCUCCCGCAGAGAAGAGAGAGUAAAAAUAGCAGCGGGUUGAGGGAAGAAGAGCUCGCCCCCCGCCAGCGGGCAGCGGCGAGGAGCCUGAGCGCACCGCGGAGCCCGCGGCGCGGCGUCACGGGGGCAGAGGGUGCGGGGAUGGACCGCGGGACAAGGUGCCACGGGGACAGGACCCUCCUGGGACAGGACACCGCAGGGACAGGGCCUGGCGGGGACAAACACACCGUGGGGACGAUCGCACGGCCCAAGGCUGGCAGGACAGGGGUGGCCGCGUCCCCAGCACGACGAGGAGGAGGAGGAAGAAGAGGAGGAGGA
Molecule: non-coding RNA, 413 nt
Organism: Lonchura striata (white-rumped munia)
Lineage: Eukaryota; Metazoa; Chordata; Aves; Passeriformes; Estrildidae
Source: RefSeq, a predicted model, not a curated record